Molecule: non-coding RNA, 1311 nt
Organism: Carica papaya (papaya)
Lineage: Eukaryota; Viridiplantae; Streptophyta; Magnoliopsida; Brassicales; Caricaceae
Source: RefSeq, a predicted model, not a curated record
CUUUUAUUCUUCUUUUUUCAAAUGACCCAAAAGAUAGUCAAAUGCAUGAUGUCAAGAAUGGUAGCUGCACCAAAAAAAAAGAAUCAUGUCAAGAAUGAUUCUUUGAUUGAUAUAUAUUUUAUUGAGUAUUAUACUUCUAUAUAUACAUGUUUUCGAUGACAGAAAAAGAAAUAGACAAUUAAUUACAAUUAAGUACAAAAAGUAUAAUUUUACCCUUUAUCUUUUAGCCUCAUUUGCUUCCUCUCUAAUAUCUUGUUUUACUUCUUUAACAAUUAUAUUUUUUAACUUGAUUUACUUCUUUUUUACUUUAACAUUCUGAUUUAUUUCAUUUUUAAUAGAUAAUAUCAACUUAAACAUGCUACUGCGGGGGUUUCCCAUUUUACACAUAGCAAAUCACAGAACUAAGAGCUCUGAGGCCAGUAAUUGGGGCUUGGGAGAGAGUUUGUCUUCCUCUAACAUAUUAUUCCAUAAAACAGACUAGGACAACAGUACCACAUUGGGUAUUUCCUUUCCCUACCUAUGUUAUAAAUAGGCAGUCAACCAAGCAGAUAAAUAAUCAAAACUGCAAAAAAGGGAAAAGCCACAGAACUGUUUUUAAGAAAUAUUGCGUUAAUAAGAUUAAUUGGUUUGCAAAUGGUUCUCUCUGGCAAAUGCCAGAAGAUAUACUUCACCCUUGUUGACUCACAAUCUACUCAAAUGUGAAAUCAGAGCUGGUAGGAUUGUAGAGUACUUCAAGGACUGCCAUGCCUGAAAUUUGAGGCUUUUAGUCCAUGCCCAAGCUUACACUUCAUGUACUUUCUAUUGAUAUAUCCCUUGAUUGUUAUUUGCAGAUUGAUGUACUUGAAGUUGAUGGCGCCUACUACGGUUUCUCUGGUUGUCAUCGGUACGAGGCUCAUCAACGACUCGGGCUCCCAACAAUUCGGUGCAAAGUACGACGAGGAACGAAAGAAACUCUGAGUUAUGUUUGAUCAUCCUGCUAAUAUUUUAUUAAAGUCACCUGCAACCAUUUUGAUGAUUCUUUCGUAUCCUAUUUGUCUUCAUUUUGCAGACAUCAUCUCCGCUGAGCAUCACCUCCACAAAGUUUAUACAGUGUUGCAGGAAGUAGGCAGUAUUUUGCAAUCCUGUAUGUGCUUUCCUGGAGUUUGUACACAUGAUGUUCCAGAAAAUGGUAGUAAAUGGUUCCUGGUACUAAAUUUAGAUGGGGAACCGCACUAGAAGAUGUACUCUCUUUCCCAACAGAAUAAUGUAUUAACUCUUUAAUGUAAUUAUAUUUUUAAUUUGUAUAUAAAUUUGUGGAUAUUUUUCUUCAUA